This is a long non-coding RNA of Salvia miltiorrhiza (redroot sage), 417 nucleotides long. RefSeq lists it as uncharacterized. The record is from RefSeq and is a predicted model, not a curated record. NCBI's taxonomy places the organism in Eukaryota, Viridiplantae, Streptophyta, Magnoliopsida, Lamiales, Lamiaceae. The transcript is spliced from 2 exons.
ACCCGGCUAAGUGAAUCAUAGAAUAUUAAGCACUACACCAUGACUUAAGAUUAGAUUCAAGGAGACCUAUUAAGAAUAGAAUUUCUUGUAGGCUUUGUGGACCAAGGGGAUUAGCACUGCUUUCCCAAGACAGGUUAUGUGAUUAUGAUCUUCAGGCUUUGCCUAUCCAGGUUGGCUGGCUGGUGCUGACGGGACGGAGCUGAGGCUAGAGUUAAAAUUCAUAUGUUAGACUUCCGCUGUAGCAAUUACUCUUAUACAUCUUUUGUUUUCUCAACUUAAGAUGACUUCAUGUCGAGCUUAAAUUUGAAAUUCUAGUUUUAUGCUAAUGAAUGUUGGUUGUCAGAAACAUGAAACAAAACUUGUGAUCCAAAGGGGCAUAGCCCGACUUUCUAUCCUAUUUUGGGUUUUAACGAGGUA